GGGUUGUGAGGUUAAGCGACUAAGCGUACACGGUGGAUGCCCUGGCAGUCAGAGGCGAUGAAGGGCGUACUAAUCUGCGAUAAGCGCCGGUAAGGUGAUAUGAACCGUUAUAACCGGCGAUACCCGAAUGGGGAAACCCAGUGUGAUUCGUCACACUAUCAUUAACUGAAUCCAUAGGUUAAUGAGGCGAACCGGGGGAACUGAAACAUCUAAGUACCCCGAGGAAAAGAAAUCAACCGAGAUUCCCCCAGUAGCGGCGAGCGAACGGGGAGGAGCCCAGAGCCUGAAUCAGCAUGUGUGUUAGUGGAAGCGUCUGGAAAGGCGCGCGAUACAGGGUGACAGCCCCGUACACAAAAGCGCAUGUGCUGUGAGCUCGAUGAGUAGGGCGGGACACGUGGUAUCCUGUCUGAAUAUGGGGGGACCAUCCUCCAAGGCUAAAUACUCCUGACUGACCGAUAGUGAACCAGUACCGUGAGGGAAAGGCGAAAAGAACCCCGGCGAGGGGAGUGAAAAAGAACCUGAAACCGUGUACGUACAAGCAGUGGGAGCACCCUUUGGGUGUGACUGCGUACCUUUUGUAUAAUGGGUCAGCGACUUAUAUUCUGUAGCAAGGUUAACCGAAUAGGGGAGCCGGAGGGAAACCGAGUCUUAAUUGGGCGUUAAGUUGCAGGGUAUAGACCCGAAACCCGGUGAUCUAGCCAUGGGCAGGUUGAAGGUUGGGUAACACUAACUGGAGGACCGAACCGACUAAUGUUGAAAAAUUAGCGGAUGACCUGUGGCUGGGGGUGAAAGGCCAAUCAAACCGGGAGAUAGCUGGUUCUCCCCGAAAGCUAUUUAGGUAGCGCCUCGUGAAUUCAUCUCCGGGGGUAGAGCACUGUUUCGGCUAGGGGGCCAUCCCGGCUUACCAACCCGAUGCAAACUGCGAAUACCGGAGAAUGUUAUCACGGGAGACACACGGCGGGUGCUAACGUCCGUCGUGAAGAGGGAAACAACCCAGACCGCCAGCUAAGGUCCCAAAGUCAUGGUUAAGUGGGAAACGAUGUGGGAAGGCCCAGACAGCCAGGAUGUUGGCUUAGAAGCAGCCAUCAUUUAAAGAAAGCGUAAUAGCUCACUGGUCGAGUCGGCCUGCGCGGAAGAUGUAACGGGGCUAAACCAUGCACCGAAGCUGCGGCAGCGACACUGUGUGUUGUUGGGUAGGGGAGCGUUCUGUAAGCCUGUGAAGGUGUGUCGUGAGGCAUGCUGGAGGUAUCAGAAGUGCGAAUGCUGACAUAAGUAACGAUAAAGCGGGUGAAAAGCCCGCUCGCCGGAAGACCAAGGGUUCCUGUCCAACGUUAAUCGGGGCAGGGUGAGUCGACCCCUAAGGCGAGGCCGAAAGGCGUAGUCGAUGGGAAACGGGUUAAUAUUCCCGUACUUGGUGUUACUGCGAAGGGGGGACGGAGAAGGCUAUGUUGGCCGGGCGACGGUUGUCCCGGUUUAAGCGUGUAGGUGUGUGUUCCAGGUAAAUCCGGUUCACUUUAACACUGAGGCGUGACGACGAGGCACUACGGUGCUGAAGCAACAAAUGCCCUGCUUCCAGGAAAAGCCUCUAAGCAUCAGGUAACAUCAAAUCGUACCCCAAACCGACACAGGUGGUCAGGUAGAGAAUACCAAGGCGCUUGAGAGAACUCGGGUGAAGGAACUAGGCAAAAUGGUGCCGUAACUUCGGGAGAAGGCACGCUGACACGUAGGUGAAGUGAUUUACUCAUGGAGCUGAAGUCAGUCGAAGAUACCAGCUGGCUGCAACUGUUUAUUAAAAACACAGCACUGUGCAAACACGAAAGUGGACGUAUACGGUGUGACGCCUGCCCGGUGCCGGAAGGUUAAUUGAUGGGGUCAGCGCAAGCGAAGCUCCUGAUCGAAGCCCCGGUAAACGGCGGCCGUAACUAUAACGGUCCUAAGGUAGCGAAAUUCCUUGUCGGGUAAGUUCCGACCUGCACGAAUGGCGUAAUGAUGGCCAGGCUGUCUCCACCCGAGACUCAGUGAAAUUGAACUCGCUGUGAAGAUGCAGUGUACCCGCGGCAAGACGGAAAGACCCCGUGAACCUUUACUAUAGCUUGACACUGAACAUUGAGCCUUGAUGUGUAGGAUAGGUGGGAGGCUUUGAAGUGUGGACGCCAGUCUGCAUGGAGCCGACCUUGAAAUACCACCCUUUAAUGUUUGAUGUUCUAACGUGGACCCGUUACCCGGGUUGCGGACAGUGUCUGGUGGGUAGUUUGACUGGGGCGGUCUCCUCCUAAAGAGUAACGGAGGAGCACGAAGGUUGGCUAAUCCUGGUCGGACAUCAGGAGGUUAGUGCAAUGGCAUAAGCCAGCUUGACUGCGAGCGUGACGGCGCGAGCAGGUGCGAAAGCAGGUCAUAGUGAUCCGGUGGUUCUGAAUGGAAGGGCCAUCGCUCAACGGAUAAAAGGUACUCCGGGGAUAACAGGCUGAUACCGCCCAAGAGUUCAUAUCGACGGCGGUGUUUGGCACCUCGAUGUCGGCUCAUCACAUCCUGGGGCUGAAGUAGGUCCCAAGGGUAUGGCUGUUCGCCAUUUAAAGUGGUACGCGAGCUGGGUUUAGAACGUCGUGAGACAGUUCGGUCCCUAUCUGCCGUGGGCGCUGGAGAACUGAGGGGGGCUGCUCCUAGUACGAGAGGACCGGAGUGGACGCAUCACUGGUGUUCGGGUUGUCAUGCCAAUGGCACUGCCCGGUAGCUAAAUGCGGAAGAGAUAAGUGCUGAAAGCAUCUAAGCACGAAACUUGCCCCGAG
RNAcentral lists this ribosomal RNA (2786 nucleotides) under Salmonella enterica subsp. enterica serovar Enteritidis. RNAcentral's name for it is "partial 23S ribosomal RNA". It matches the Rfam family "Bacterial large subunit ribosomal RNA". Lineage: Bacteria; Pseudomonadati; Pseudomonadota; Gammaproteobacteria; Enterobacterales; Enterobacteriaceae. The record is from RNAcentral.